UCCGAGCGUUAUCCGGAAUCAUUGGGUUUAAAGGGUCCGUAGGUGGGCCAUUAAGGUCAGGGGGUGAAAGUCUGCGGCUCAACCGUAGAAUUGCCUUUGAUACUGGUGGUCUUGAGUCGUUGUGGGGUUGCCGGAACAUGUGGUGUAGCGGUGAAAUGCAUAGAUAUCACAUAGAACACCGAUCGCGAAGGCAGGUGACCAUCAACGUACUGACACUGAUGGACGAAAGCGUGGGUAGCGAACGGGAUUAGAUACCCCGGUAGUCCACGCCGUAAACGAUGGAUACUAGCUGUGGGGACCUCGGUCUCCGUGGCCAAGCGAAAGUGAUAAGUAUCCCACCUGGGGAGUACGUUCGCAAGAAUGAAACUCAAAGGAAUUGACGGGGGCCCGCACAAGCGGUGGAGCAUGUGGUUUAAUUCGAUGAUACGCGAGGAACCUUACCAGGGCUUAAAUGCAGGCUGCAUGGGGUGGAGACACCCCUUUCUUCGGACUGCCUGCAAGGUGCUGCAUGGUU
This 514-nucleotide ribosomal RNA is filed under the name uncultured Allomuricauda sp. RNAcentral's name for it is "bacterial SSU rRNA". It matches the Rfam family "Bacterial small subunit ribosomal RNA", at positions 533 to 1050 of the family's 1533-position model. Lineage: Bacteria; Pseudomonadati; Bacteroidota; Flavobacteriia; Flavobacteriales; Flavobacteriaceae. The record is from RNAcentral.